Molecule: ribosomal RNA, 440 nt
Filed under: uncultured bacterium
Lineage: Bacteria
Description: partial 16S ribosomal RNA
Rfam family: Bacterial small subunit ribosomal RNA
Source: RNAcentral
CCUACGGGAGGCAGCAGUGGGGAAUAUUGCACAAUGGGGGAAACCCUGAUGCAGCGACGCCGCGUGAGUGAAGAAGUAUUUCGGUACGUAAAGCUCUAUCAGCAGGGAAGAAAAUGACGGUACCUGACUAAGAAGCCCCGGCUAACUACGUGCCAGCAGCCGCGGUAAUACGUAGGGGGCGAGCGUUAUCCGGAUUUACUGGGUGUAAAGGGAGCGUAGACGGCAGCGCAAGUCUGGAGUGAAAUCCCAUGGCUUAACCAUGGAACUGCUUUGGAAACUGUGCAGCUAGAGUGCAGGAGAGGUAAGCGGAAUUCCGAGUGUAGCGGUGAAAUGCGUAGAUAUUAGGAGGAACACCAGUGGCGAAGGCGGCUUACUGGACUGUAACUGACGUUGAGGCUCGAAAGCGUGGGGAGCAAACAGGAUUAGAUACCCGAGUAGUC